GUGCUCGCUUCAGCAGCACAUAUAUUAAAAAUAACGGAACAAUGCAAAAAAGAUUAGCAUUGCCUCCGUGCAAGGAGGACAUGCAAUUUCGUGAAAGUUCCAUAAAAAAA
Molecule: small nuclear RNA, 110 nt
Filed under: Castor canadensis (American beaver)
Lineage: Eukaryota; Metazoa; Chordata; Mammalia; Rodentia; Castoridae
Source: RNAcentral